AUUUUAUUCUUUAAAUUAUUUAUUUAAUAUUUACUAUUAUUUAUUAUUUAUUAUUUAUUAUUAUUUUAUUUAUUUAUUUAUUUUCUUUCUUAGUUAGAAAGAAACGAACGAGAUAUUUUUUUCAUUCCGUUUCUUUCACGGAAUCUUGUUUCGUUCAUUUCUCGUAACGACAAAGAGCGUGAAAUUUUCUUUCCUUUUAUGCCAUUUUUUUUUCUCUUUGCUCAAAACAGAGCAGGUGGAAGGAUAUCAGAUAAUUGGUUAAUCAUAAUCUGUUCAUCAUUUUAUCUUCUAAUGUUUUUUCUUAUCUACUGGGUGUUGAAAUAAUUUCCGUCAAUCUCCUUCACGAUCGUGCUCACAGGAGAAGGAAUAUCUUGGGAUGUUAUUUCUGGUUAAUCCCGCACGUAAGGACGGUAAUACGCUUUAGGGCAGUACUUCGCACGCUUCCGUAUAAGAUCAUAUCUUUAUUUGGAUAUUUGCGUUUAUCGUUUGAUUUUAUUUUUACUACAAAUUAGUUAGAUUCUAAUCAACAAUCUAAGGCUUAGUUCUCAAUCUGAUUGUAAUUAAAAAAUCUAACGCAUGCUAAUCAUUAAAAUAUAUAUAUAUAUAGAGCUAGGCUACUAUACUAUCGGUAGCACGGAGGGCUCCGUGCUACCAAGUUGUUUUCGAUGAUGCGGCUUCCAAAUUGACGAUCGGCUCCGUUAGACUUGAUCUACAUAAUUAAAAGUAUUUAGAAACUAAAUUUCAUAAUUUUUCGAUAUCAUUUACCUAACAAAUAAGUAGUCUAAAAUUGAACGGCUGAAAAUAAAAAUCUCUUUAUUAGAAUACAUGUGUCAUUAAACUAUAAUGUAAUGAUGUCACUUGAUUUUCCGCAUUACGUCGUAAUCAUCAUUAGAAUUAGUGUAUACACUUUAAUGAUCAAUCCGACUCCAUUGGUUAUUACGACGUAUUACGCUUGGUUUACCCAAGAAUAGGAAUCUUUUGGAAAACUCAAUGGGUACUGUGAAGUCGAAGCGUUCCAACUCUACGAAGUCAGGGAAGUGCGAUAAUACAAAGUCAAGGGUAUCAUCGAAGAUUUUCCUAGGUUUUAACACGCAAAACUCAAACACAGUGAUAGUUCCCAUCUACCCACUAUCUAAAGUGCUACGCACACUGUUAGAGGGGGUGGAUAACACGUCUGCGAAAGCAGAACGCGAUCACAUACAAGAGCAAGCACAUCGGAGCUAGUAUCAAGCAGCACGGAAGUGUGUGCAGUUUAGAGCUCGCGACGACGAUAUCAGGCGUAGGUGGAGGCGUGGUAGGGGUUCACGGAAAGGAGAAACUCAUACUAGCGAUCGGUCAACAUACACGCCUAUUCAAACAACCGUACAAGCUGGGCAGCUUACACCAACAGGAAGAGUUGUACGUACGUGUGCGAUGGCUCAACGCCCUGAGGGCGUACAGGAAAAUCCGAGAAAGAGCCUAAACGCAGACUGUCUUGAUGGAUUGAGAGUUAACCCAUUUUCGACGAGGUUCUUGAGAGCUCCGAACAGUAGGAACGAGAGUAGGAAGAGGAGUUCCUGGUGAUGAUGGAGCUGGGAAGACACGAGGUGGAGGAGCGCAUCGACAUCACGACUUUCCCAAACUAGGAAGCAGCGCAGGGAAGAGAGGGAAUAUAACGCUACGAGAUGGGGAGAAAACCGGAGAGAACGGAAUUCAUCGAACGGUACUAGCGAAAACCAAGUGAGCCAAUCACGGAUAGAGCAGAACUCCGGACGCUGGAGCUGGACCCGUGGCUACAGGACUUCGUUGUGUAGAACGCGCAGAUCGAACAGCAACGCUGCACCUUCUAGACGGAACUUUAUGAGGUCUACUACCGUCUUACAACGGUACCGACGCUGUUGUAGGAGGAGAUAGUUCGCUUCGGAGAGAAGGGUGUUUGAGUACCAGACUCGAAUACGCCUCGUAGCGAAGAAGUGAAAGCAACAUUGAAAGAGAACGUCCCGGGCGAGGCAAGAGGCUCCUACACCGGAGGAAGCGCUCACGGACACCGAAAAACGAAGAAAGGAUGAACCAGACAAACCCAAGGCCGUGUAAUAGUUGCGGUUGUCGUAAACUGUUGCUGUACCAAAAAGGGAGCUUGGCCGAGACUAUGGUUGACAGUACCUGAAUACGAAGAUUGAGCGUUUUCGAACACAACACGGGCGGAAAGGCGAGUCUCUACCCGUUCAGAAGGAGUGAGAACAAUCAGAUGAUAAACAGGAUUUUGAUUCAACGUUCUUUUUCUCUAUGAAAACCCCAUUACUUUUUAAUAUAUUGAAUAACUUUACCUCAUGUUAUAAAACCUUCACACCCCGAACCCUUUCUGGAUUCUCAGCAAUAAAUAGCUGGAUAACGGUAAUAAUGUUUAUUUCUAGGUGGUAAAUAACAAAGGUCUCUUAGAUUUCUUGAUUCACUGAAAAUACAGAGACAGAUACCGAGAAGUUAAAUGACGGAUGUAAAUAAGAAUCUUUUGAUAACUCAACGGGCACUGUGAAGUCGAAAGGUUACAACAAUUCGAAACCAAGAGUAUGCGACACUAGGAAGCCGAGGGUGUCAUCGAAGACCUUCCUAGGUUUAACCCGGGAAAACUCAAACACAGUGAUAGUUCCCGUCUGCUCGCUAUCUAAAGUGCUACGCGCACUGUAGGACAUGAGAAAACAUAUGUUUUCAGAAACAAGAGUAUUGAGCAAAUGUUACUAUCUCUCAAACUAAGUUACUAGAUAUGACAAUUUGUACGAGAUCACAAAACUUAACAGAUCUUUGGUUUGAAGUACUAAAAAGUUCUAAUAAGAGUUCAGAUAAUUCACUUAUAUUUUACGUAUGAGUUUUAGUUUGUUGAAAGAUUAUCAUCUUCUAACCCAAAAAGCUAAGUAAUAGCCUCAAUAACUAAACCUAGAUCUCUCACUUAUCUCUUUAUAUAUAUAUAUAUAUAUAUAUAUAUUCUACUUGGCUUGUUUUAUUAAAUAUAUGUGACAUUAGACUAUAACGUAUAUACGUCACUUGGUUUGCUGCAUUACAUCGUAGUCAUUAUUAAACUUAGCAUCUACGCUUUAAUGAAGAGUGUGGGGCUCCGGGAAAGACAUUUUGGAAAAAUCUUGUUCCACGUUAAACUUCGGGUCUCAAUCAACUUUUGCGAAUAAAAGAGAAAAAUUUAAAUCGGAACGGAUGCCCUGCUUGUCUGGGCGGUGUUUGUAUCCCUAAAGAGACAGGUGUACCUAUCUCAGAGAGGAUAUAAACGUACUAUAUGGUUGGAUUAUGUUAUAGUGUUGGUAGUUAGAGAUGAAUGUGUUUGGUAGUUAGGCAUAGUAUGUGGUACGUACUCGUACGUUCUAAGAGUAUGUCAAUGCGCUAGGAAUCGUCUCUACUACGCACGUAAGUAUGUCGAUGCGUUAGGAAGCGUUUCUACUACGUUUACGUGUUUGUUGUUAGUUUCUUUAAGAAGAUAGUAAACUUUCAUAAAGAGUGGGGCUUGGAAACAAAAUUUUAGAUCUUAAUACUAUUUUGGUUUUUUAAAAACUUUUAGUAAAGGGCUUGUCUUUGAGUCGGAGAACUUUUGGUUGAUGGUACUCCCUAUACUUUGGUAAAAACGGUAUUUUAGUAUUUGGUAACGUUAUUAAAGAUUUAUCUUUAAAUAUUAGAAUAAUUUGGUUCAUCGUUCGUAGGUUAAAAUGACUUGGUGGUGUCAGAUUCAAUUGGUUUCAAUUGUAUUCUCAAUUCUAUUGUUCUAUUGGCAUCGUCUUUUAAUUCAUCAAGUAACCUGGUGAUUUUGGGAGAUCAUUAUAGCUUCGGAACGUGGUACGGUACUGGUUGGAGUGGGGGCUAUGGUGGACAUUUUUAUCACCCCACUCUUUGGUUGAAUUCUAUAAGGUCACUGAUGCUGUUUCGGUACUUCCGUUUCGGCAUUAGUAGCCUUAGACUCCUAUCAGUUCUCUCUCUAUAUACAAGUCGAUCUUACUUUUCGGAUAUCACCGUUCUAUAUAUAUAUAUAUAUAUAUAUAUAUAUAUAUAUAUAUAUAUAUGAUGAAUAUUUUCGCACUCAAAACUUAAAAAAGGAGAAAGGGUUUUAUGGCCAGGGAUAAUUAUAUUAAGGUUAGUAUAUGAUUAUUAUAGUAAGUAAGUUGAAAUUACCUUAUUUAGUGUCAGUAUGUUAAAAAUAAAAUAAAAAUUUAAUAGUAUUUUAUAUAAUUAAGAAUCAAUAAUCUAGAUUAGGUUACUGACUGCUUAAUUCAUAGACAGUGAAAAAAAUGGAUUUAACGGGAGUUUAUCAUGCAUAGUUUAAAAUGAAAAAUAUACGUACAGUAUAGAAGAUUAUUGGCGGUGGAUGUAUUAUAGUAUAAAAUAUUGUUUAUUAUAAGCGUAAAGAAUUAUAAAAUAAAGAGUGUGUUUUAUAGGCGGUGGAUAUAUUAUAGACUAGUGUAUUAUGGAAGGCGUAUAUAUUAUAAAUUAGUAUAAAAAAUUUUCCACUUAUAUAUUUUUAAUAGAAUUAAAAUGGAUAAUUAUAAACUUUAUACUCUAUAAAAAAGUUAUUUUAUAUUGUAUAUUUAAAUGUUAAAUUUUAAAAUUUAAACAUCUAUUUAUACUAAGUGUUUAACUAUAACUAAACUCUAUUAAUAAUUUUAUUAACAACUAUGUCUGUUUGGAAAAAAAUCAGCCUUUUUUAUAACGUAAAGUAAACGCUCUUAUCUUUCUUUAAAUAUGAAUAGGUUUAAAAACAGUUGACUUCCUAUAAACGACAUUUUAUAAAAAGUGUUCGCGGGGUAUUUUAUUAUAAGGUAUGAAUAUUUUUUUUGUUUUUAGAGAUACGUUGUUUGUAACUUUUAUAAAACAUAGAUGAUAGAGAGUUAAUCGAUUAAUUUUUUUUUCCAAACUUUUUAUUUUACUAAAUUUAUUCGAAUAGUUUAGUUGAAAUUUAAAAUUUAAACCAAGUAUUAAAGUUUACACUUAAUUAUAAAAUUAAAUUUUAAACUUUAAUUAAUUUUAAAAUUAUAAAACCCACACAUUUGUCAUAAAGUUUAACUUUUAUUAAUUAAUUAAACUUUUAUAUAGUUAAAACUUUUUAUCUACCCUACUAUUUAUUUAAUUACAGAAAUUAUUAAUAAAUAUAACUUUAAUUCCUAAGUUUUAAUUAAAGUUUUAAAUUCAAAAUAAGUAUUUAAAUUUAGACUUAAAUAAUUAAAUUUUAAAUCUUAAUGAAGUUUAAAAUUUUAAACCUAUGUGUAAUUUUUUUUUAAUUACAAUCUUUUUUUGAUUGACUAUUUAUUUAAAUAUGGUGGUUAUUAAUGAAUUUAAAUUUUAUAAUUAUAUUUAAAUUAAAUUAAUUUACAAUGCACGUAACGUGCACGUGAUAUUGAUCAUAUAUAUAUAUAUAUAUCAUUUAGUAUACUUAACAGAUUAAAUUAAAAAAAUUAAAAUAGUUAUUUUACAACAUCUUGCACAUUUCAUUUAUAUCAAUCAAAUAUACCUAUCCACAUUUACAUACUAACAAGGAAAACCGUUCAACAGGCCACAUCAUGACACCAUCAACGCUUAAAUCGAUGUUUACGGUGAAUGAGAGACACAGCCUCGGAAGAACAUACUAGGCAAACGAACAGUGACAAAAUAACGGGCGGUGAACAAACACCUUUACCGCGUCACCCUAGCGACCCAGCUUCGGCGAAUGAGCUUCAACCGAAGCUGCGCCGACAUAGCUUCGCUGGAGGCUGGGAAGAGCAAUGUACGUAAUUGCGGCCGACUCCAACUGCGCAAGCUACCGGGCCCGGGUACCCUGGCAUACCGCCAGCUCCAGUCUUAGCUGCUUCGGUGGAAUGCCGUUACCGAGCGGCUUGAGGGCUCGUCGCCAAUCGGGAAGGGCACUUUGUGUUUGUGAGGUUUUGACAACGGCACUAGCACAGCAUAUCCUGUGGAAGCGUAGGGAAUGCACAACUCAAACAUGAGUUGUAUCAUGAGUCGGGAAAGAAACGUGCGAUGAACCGUAUGAAGAAAAUACGAAGCGGUUGUGAAUUGUACUACCAGCCAUGAGGCAUCUCAUACCCCCAAGUUCAUGAGAAAAUGCCAAGAUGGCAUAGUACGAGUGAAUAGUAGAAAAGGCACUAUUUAAAAAUCAUACCUUAGAUCGGCAAUGAUUAUACUCUGUUUAUGCUUGCUCAGCCUAUGAAGCAACCUACUCUUUUAUAUCUUUUGAAUGAUACGUUAAUGGGAUAAACACGGGAUUAUAAAAGUCUAUAAUGUCAUACGCUCAACACGACUUGUGACCAAAAAGAAGCUGAUGAAACUGAUCUAUUACUCCGCUAACCGCUCCUUCUCUUUUAGUCGCCUUUAUACGAAGAAAAGAGCCCCUUACUAAUGAACCCAAACUGGAGAGUGGGCCGACAGGCAUUCCGGCGACGCUUCCAUUUUUAAAAAGCAACUCAUAAGCGCAUAUUAACAAAGUAGAGAGGACAAAAGACUUGGUAAAACGCAGAUAAAAAUCCGGCGAGCUUUAAUGCCAUACCCAGGCUCUCCGAGAGGAGACCAAACACCGGUUUGUCUAAUAGUGUGAGACGAACUUCGAAGUAACCGCCUAAACUCAUUUUUUCUCCAUCGAAAAGUGGGAACCAAUAUACAUUGAAACGAGACACUAUAAGGCUUUAAUCACUUUCCUCAGCCUUACACUCCACACUGGUAAAUGUCAUACAUGUCAUCAAUUCUCUAUGGACUUCAUAUAGAGAGAAAGGCUCUUGUAAUUUGUUAAAAGGUCAUGGGUUCGAAGACAACUUCUAAUGUACAUGGAAAUAGAAAUCUUUUAAAGUUAAAAUAUACUAUAAAGUCGUUGGAACGCCUCUCUUCUCUUACGUACUAAAAUGAGUAGACACCAAGAGAUAUUUACUGGUAUUAAAGAAUUAACAUUGGUUUCCUCCGGCGAAAAUUCACAUCCAUUAUUAUUCUCUUCGUAUUUACUACAACUACCGUUCCAUCGACAAGAUAGCUUGUCAACGAACGUAAAUUAAAUAAACCAAAGACACCUUUCUUAAAAGUAAAUACAACGAAAAGAAACAAAACAAUAAAAAGGUAGGUUCAGUAUCAUUGACUUACAACUAAUAAGUCCUUACACAAGAAACGGGAUGACCAAAAAGACGGUUGUACAGGAAGUAGAGACGUAAUCCUUCAUAAUCGAGGGAAAACCGAGAAUCUUCCUACGGCAGACUAUUGCUGUUUUAUCGUUAUAAGAGUCUGCGAGAGUUGGUACGUAGUUAUUAACUACCCUAGGCGCAGCGACUCGCAGUUGUUCUUCACGUUGAAAAAUAAAUAUCGGUGGCACUGUACUCGGUAGAGCUAAGGUAAGACAUACACAAAAUGAUCAAUCGGGCAUUAGAAGUAAUUAUUAGUUACAACAAGAAGUACUAACGUAUCGAUACAAUAUGGCGUCUAGUGUAACAGGCUACCUUUUCUUCCAACAGUAGUGGCUGUCCAUUCAACACGGCCGAUGUCUAUUAGUCCCACUUCUAUCCCGAAUAGGUCUCUAUAUUAUGUCACCAAAUUUUAAUAGAGACGACGUACCGCCGGACAUUUUAAGAAUUAGGAGGUCAAAGAGCUUCGUGCAUUGAAUACGAAUGAUGCUUAAACAACACGUCGGAUAAGUCGUACCUACCUCAGAAACGAGGUUACGGGCUUGAACAACGGGAAGCAUUCUUCGUACCCAAAGAAAACCAUUAACUACUACAUUCAGAUCGGAGAUGAUAAUAAAAGAAAAAAAACCGAGGGGAUUAGAGGAAUACACGUUAGUUUAUCUUCACUAACGCAUAUAGACUUUCUUCGAAGAAGUCCGAGUGCCUUGUGAUCAAACACCACUCUUACCGCCACCACAACGCCUUGAGAAACUUACAGUUUUACUUCAGCUGUAUACGUAUCCAUCAAACUCGUUUCGACAACCAACGGAGCCACCUAAGUAGCGCACGUCCAUGUUCAAAAAAAAAAAAAAAAAAAAAAAAAACCCCCCCCCCCCCCACAGGAAGUUCUUCAUUAGUUCAUGCUCUUGAGAUAUAACGACUUUGUAGUUUCAUAAACAAAGUUUCCUAACAUUUUUAUAACGCGUCUAUGGUAUGUAGGAAACAUUUUAACCGUAGUAUUUAUUUUAGACAAAAGACAACUAAACACGAAGUUAUUCGUGCAAAGAAAAAUAUAUAUUUAUAAAGGUUAGAUCUAACAAGGAUUACACGAUGAAAAGUACAACUUGAACGGCUUGUCGUUCUAUACCUUCGUCGAUUAUGAUGGUUCCCCCGCGUACAUACAUAUAAGUUGCCAAUAGGGUCACGGGGAACGACGACGACGUAUACCAUAAACGACGUACGAAUUGUGUAAGAGUAAAUACGUGCUUAAGCAAACACUUUUAAAAGACAGCAGCAGAGGAAGAUACGUCUAUGGGAGGACAAUUCUAGGUUGGUUUUCUACAAAGUGAACGAUCUUAUUAAUGAUUAGAGAAAUAGAAAUGGACGACCAUUCAAAAAUCGACUCCUAGACAUUGAGCCACUGGAGAGUUCUUGACAACCCGAGAGGACGACACAUAACUAUUUGUUAUUGAUCACGGUAUAUCCUCCUGAUUUACUUACGUAGAGAAACGUUAGUAUAUUAACAUACAUACUUCUGUGUGACACAAUUUAACGUCGAAGAGAGUAACACCGUUCUUUCCUUUUUACCGCGUCCAGCCGUGAAACCUCGGCUCACGUUCUUAAGUUGAGAAAUUGGGUUGUAUUACGUUCAUCAGGAUAUUAAAGAGACCAUGAUCCCUCACUUCGUCGUCGUUAUUCCCGACGCUCCAAAAAGAAGAUAGGAAUUGGAAGUAAAGGAAGAGGCAUUUCGAAUAGUAGAUUCGAAGUACGCUCACUCUAGAGCAACAACAGCAUUUAGUCCGUAUACGACUCAAGACCAAAAGUACACUAACGUUAGUCUGGUGGAGUUCAAGGAGGUUUGAGUACGUCCAUUGAGCUUAAGAGGUAGGCUACAAAAAGAGAAUUACUUCAACUUACAAGCUUUGAAGAUGGCAUUAAAUACUAGACGACGUCCAAUGCCCAAUCAGAGUCGCGAAGAGUAAGCAGUCGCCUAUAACUUUCCGAAUAACGACGUAAUAGGAGGACAUAAUUUAAGGGCGAAAAGCCGUUGUUACUGGCACGUCAAAGCUUCGAGAUUGAAUACUUUCAUGAAAGCAGCGGAGGUUCCUUCGGCAACUUACGUGUUGAGAAAAGUUUAUGGAAGUACCCAAUAAUAUUAUAGGCCUCAACAUGUUAUUCCGACAAUAAACUCGGUUAAGCCUCAACAGGUUAUUCCGACAAUAAACUCGGUUAAACACAGAGUUAAUACAAAUAACCUAAGACUCAUCAGUAAACUAAACAAAAUCUGUAAACCUCUAACUAAAAUAAAGUUAACUUUACACUCUAAACCCAAGUGGAAGGUAUAGUCAUUGGGUUUUAAUAUGAUGUAUGCAUCAUCUUAAGCCGAGUCUACAUUCCACGUGAUUGUUUAAUUACUUGGUAAUAAUGUUGUUGCUCUACUCGAUUAGUAGUCAAGACUAUUCGAGAAGUUUAGAAAUACAAGAGUUGUGAGAGCCUCUAUGUCAAACAAAGUUACUAAGAUAGGCAGUUAAUGUUGUUGUUUCCUGUGUUGUAUACAUUGUUUGUACAUCGCUAAAAAAGAGAAACAUUCAAAAUCGACAUCGCUCCCUGCAUGUAGGCCCGGGUCUCCACGAAAGGAAACUAGUGCUUGAACCGCCAGGCGACCGGCAACUCGUGGUGGCGCUGGUAGCUUCGCGAGCAUUUGUGGUUGGCGGGCAUGUAGCCGCCGACGGGGCCGCCACGAGAGAGAUAGUAGUGGUGGAGGUGCGUACCGGGUAUAGAGGAUGGUAUACAUAUCAGGUAUAUAUGUACCUUAUGUUGUUCUAAACUCUUAAAUAAUGUACGUGAACUUAACCGUAUAAUACUCGGUACGUGGAUCACUAGAUGGUAAAUUUUGUUUAAUAUCUAAAAAAUUUUUUUAAGUUUGUUUAGUUGAAGUAUUUAAACAUUUUUUAGCCACGGACAUGGUGUGGGUAGAGUAUUAAUAGAAUAGAGUACGAAAUUAGAGGCACUUAAUUACUCAACGUAUAAAAGGCAUUACUGAAAAUGUCAACUUUAUUUAACCUAUCAACCUGGUUUUCAGUUUUUUUGAGAGAAAAAAUGACACAAAAUUCAGCUCAUAUAUAUAGCUGUACGUAUGAGCAUUUACUAAUCGUACCCAUCGCGUCGCAAGUUUAGCAAUGUAGUAAAUGAACCGUACUUCUAAUUUACCCCUUAUUAAAUUAAUAUAUCGAGGAAUUUUGGUGCUCUAGGCAGCAAAUAAAGUGAAAUUUUAGACUUGUCUAUUGCUUGUGCAUCUCACAUGCCAGAUGAUAGUUCAGGAAUCAGUUUACACGAGCUGUGAUAGUCAGUAAAUGCACGGGUAUUUACGCGUACGUGCAAGUAAAAGAAAAUUUGGUGCGUAUUUUUACAUUCAUACAACAACACUUAAUAUACAGCGUACUAGUCUACGUCUUUUAUUAAAGGGGCCCUCAAUAAACACACGUUUUUUAAGAUGAUGAGUGCUUAAUUUCUUGAGCCGAUAUAGGAGAGAUGACUAUCCUAUAGGGGACCUCUUCCACUACUUGUACCUGGAGACUAGGAGGCCGCUCACCAAGUUGGGGCCUCGGGUGCCGGAGCGGUAGCCCAAGUUGUGGCUGUUGGCGCUGGGCUAACCCCAGCUCGAGCAGGGGAGGGGCUUGGGCGAGCUGUAGCGCACGUGCAAUAGGCCUGCGAGACGUAGGGAGCGGUGGGAGAGGUAGUCGAGCAGUAGCUUCUAAUGGAGCGUGUGUAACAGCUUCUUCAUCGCGUGGGGGCGCCGGCGGAGCGAGAACACCAUAAGCUUCUUGGCGUUCAGGUGCCCGAGGCUAUACUCCCUCAACCACCUGCCAUCGACCAGCAGCUGAACACGCCCCAGCUAGCCCGCCGGCCUCUCCGCCGACUCCGUGCGGGUCCGGAGUCGCUCCUUCGCCGCCUGCUGCAGCAGCAGCGCCAUCCGGCUGUGCACGGCCUACUUGAGCACCACCGGCUACCUGAGCUUGGUCUCGGUGUCGCGGUACUGGGUAAACUAGGCCAGGACCAGGACGGGGUCGACGUGGUGGUCCGCCACCUUUUUCAGGGAGAGGACGAACACCUUCUCGAAUUCUAGCUCCCCCGAAUCCAACCCAGAUUGGUACCGGCACAUGUACACGCGCAUCAAUCUCUUUCUCUCUCUCUCUCUCUCUCUCUCUCUCUCUCUCCCUCUCUCUCUCUCUCAAUAUCACAAAUAAAUAAAUAAAUACAUGAUCUAAACAUGAGUCGUUUACGUCACCCGAAGCUUGCAAUUAUGAACGGUAAAACCCCUUCACUUAGGUUCUCCUACCUACGAACCAGGGUUUGUUCAACCGCGGGCGCGUGUGCACAGCGGUAGGCUAACCACAACGUACCGGUGGAGGGUACGUUGGGGGGCCCUUUUCCGCGCCUCGUGCUUGAAGUUUCGCGACCGGGGUUCGCAGCGUAGGCCCCUCUCUCUCUCUCUCUCUCUCUCUCUCUCUCUCUCUCUCUCUCCUGUGCAUGGUUUCGCAGGGCGCUGCGUGAUGUUUAUGUUGCGGCUGGGUUUGGGGUAAACGCGGUAAUUUUGUUCAAUGCAUGCCAUGGAAAUGUUGUUACCGAGGAGAGCACUCUCUAUAUAACCGGAAAGUGUUUUAGCUGGCGCGAAACAUACUGUUCAAGCAGCGGGUGCCUUGUUUGGGCGUUGAGCGCGCAUUGCACCAAUGCGACUAGUACACCGAGCUAAACUAGCCGUAGUUGUAGCAGCCGAAGUGCUCUCUCGAGGUUUUGGUGCGGCUCUAGCAGGCUAAGCACAGGCUCAGGCUCCACCAGGAGUUAACGGACGCGGUCCUGAGCGGCGGCGAAAGGGGGUUUCCGCCGCGGAUGCGCCUUUAUGGCUGGUAGAGAAGCGAGCGCUCUCUCAGGAAGCUGGAGGCGAAGAAGGAGAAGGUGGUCCUGUACCACCACGCCCCCGAGCGCGUUAACGAGCUGCCGCAGCCGUGACACUAGAAGCUGCUGCCGAACUUGCGCGACAAGACCCGGGUGCUCCGGCGACACUCCCGGCGCCUCCUCCUCCGGUCCACCUUUCCCAGUGCUGGCCACGAGGGGGGAGAGGGCGGGCUCAACCGCUUCGGGAUGAUGAGAGCGCCCGAGCGUGGCUACGGGCUGCUAACGGCCAGCUACAAGUAUUGGAAGAGCUUCCCCUUAGGGGACGCUUCCCUGCUUUAGCAUCUCAUAAAGUGACUCAUUCGAAAUAUAUAUAUUCAGUAUGAUUUAAAAAAAAAAGUGAACAUGAGCUAGCCACGUGGCGUAGAAUGGUUGGUAAGUAGAGUAGAGUAAACGUUGAAAUGUAUGCAUAUACAAAUAUAUAUUUGGUGAACCAUAUAUACGUACCAUUGUUAAUUUUACCCGUCCUCUACCCCCCUGACGUAUCUCGCCCACUACUACCUCUCCUGCGGCGGGCCUCACUGCGGCUACAUGCCCUCCUAGCACAAGUGCCCACUCAGCAAGUAGCCCGAGCACGAGUUGCCUCUCGCCGAGCAUUUCAAGUACUAGUUGCCUUCCGUUAACACCCGAGCAUUCAUGCACGGCGCUUAGUUGACUAGCAGCAGCAGCAGCGGCGGUACGUGUACGUGCGUACGUACUUAUAUUAACGUACCUUCAACGUCGCUUCUACAACUAAUUUGGCACGGAAAUCAAAGUUUCAAAUAUAGUUAAAAUAAGAAUUAAACGCUGACAUCAUUAAUCCAACACAAGAUCAAGAUGAGAAGCAAAAACCAAAUCACAACACCAACAACUGAGAUCAUCUCACACCAAUGAUCAAUACAGAGCAAUAUAUACAUGAACUUUUCACGGAAGAGCAUAAUUACUUGUUUAAUUAGAGCAUAAUUACUUGUUUAAUUUUAGUUUAAGAGGACGAUUUAACCAGCGUAAAAAGUAAAUCAAUAUGACAAUGUGUGCAAGCUAGUGAUGAACAGUACAGAGCAAUACAUGAACUUUUCACGGAAGAGCAUGUUUACUUGUUUGAUUUUAGUUUAACUAGAGGCUGAUUUAUAACCAGUGUUAAAAAUAAAUCAAUAUGACAAUGUGUAUAAGCUAGUGAUGCAGACUAGUGAUGCAUGAAUCAUAAAAAUCUUAUCAAAUUAGUUUAAAUAUUAAAAUAAUUUAAAACCCGGAGAUCAAUUAACAGCGGUGAUACACGAUAGUUAACUUAGUCUAAAUAAUACGUGCUUAGUUUAAAUAACUUAAAAACUAUCUAUAUCAAUUAAUAUUCUCCACUGGUUAAAGUUACUUAGCCCUAUUAAGCUUAAAGUUAUUGACUUAGGGAAAGUGAUCGAUACUAAGUGUGUUAAAUCUUAAGAACUUAGGUUAGUUUAAGUUAUUUGUUUAUUACUAGUACAAGAAGAUUUAGAAUAUUCGAACUCUUCAUUUAUUAACCAAACCAGUGUAUUUUAUGAUUAGAUUAGAUUUUUUCAAUUAAUUACUUUAAAUAUAAUAAUAUUUUGUUUGUUUUUCCUUUCUCGAGUACGCUGCAUUCACACCUGCUUAUGUAUUACUAUUGUUCAGUUUUCUCUUUCCAACCUGGUAAUCACCUAGAAGGUGUUUCUCUUUGCGAUGCAUGGUCACGUAGAUACCUAGAAGUACGCUUAAAAUAUAUUUUUAUCUUUGAACCCUACUUAAUUUACAUUUCAAAUUUGGAAUAAACAUCUACAUGUACAUCAUAAUGAAAAGUGUUUUAAAACGGUUUUUCUUAUAUUUUAAAGUAGAUCAGUUAUUUGAUGCGAUGGACAUGUAUAUAAAAAUCUGAUUCGUAUUUAGAUCGUGGGUGAAAAUGAUCAUAAUAGUUAUAGUUAAAAGCAAAUAUGAUUUUUAGUUACCUUACAUAUAAAUCGUAAAAAAUAAAUUUAUUAUGCUGUGCAGAGAUAAAGAAAUUUUUUUCUUUACCAGAGGUAGUUUGAUUCGAGUAACUACUCUCUCAAGAUGUAUCUUUAUACCAUUUUUGCAACCACUGCACAAUAUCAGUUUCCUUUUCUUUUUUUUUUUUUUUCAUUUUUUUCCAAAAAAAAAAGCAAGACAAAUCCUAAGAGAAGUAAGUUCACAUGGUUUGCGGGUUAACAAUAACGUGAACCACGUGGUGUAGUCGUACACGUGGUGAGCAAUUUCGUUAACCAUUAACAUAACUUAUGCGCUGAGUUUAAGGUGCUAGCCUAAACCGCUUGCGCCACGUGCCUAACUUCACCUCGUUGUCCACAUUGGUUAUUAAGUGCCAGUUUCCAGGGAAAGGGUAGGUUGCGAUAUAUAUAUAUAUAAUCACACACCGGUUUAACAAGUCUCGAAUUAAUAGUCUCCGUAGAUUCUACCACUUCCGCUAAUCUCAGAUACUCAAACCACCGGGGCUCCAUUUCGUUUAAUUCAUUAAUAAGGAGAGAACAAGAUGAUAAAAACAAGAAUCAUGUUCGCUAAUUAAUACAAAGGUAAAAAUACAAACAAAAAAGGAAAAAAACAAACUACUAAAUUUCCACAACUUUACCCUCCUGCACCUCUAACCUCUCGGGUCCCUCCCUCUCUAGGCUCAAUUCGUGUUUCGGUAACCACAGUUGAAGAGUCUACAAAUAAAGGCAUGUCCUUGAAUGUUUAGGCGUGGAAAAGGGAAAUGAGGACCAUUGUUUAAUUCUCUAAGAUUAUAUAUAAAGCCUAAUUUCAAUCGUAAAAACCAAAGAAAUUACGGAAAAACGUGGUUUAGUUUCAACAUGCACACUCGGAUUAAAUCAUUCAAUCAUCGCACCACCAUUCAAUAGUCUUCAAAUAAAACUCUAUUCUUCAAGCUCGGAAACAAACACAGCCACAUUAACGUCCGAGUUCAUCAGAGCUGGAAGUUUCACUCGCAUAAGUCUUCUAAAAAUCUACUUUAUGAAGCCUGUAAACCUUGGAUGUAUUCAACAGUUUUAUCCUUUUUUCUCUUUUACUUUUUAAUCACUCGCUCGGAUUAUCGUUAACUCCAAGCCAAAUCUGCAACCUUAUUCAAUAAGACUUGUUUAAAUAAACUACAUUUUAAAAGAAUAUUAAAACAAACCUACAGUAUUAUUCUAUAUGUUAUUAUUCAUUAAACCAUAUUUUUAAAAUAAUACAUUAGCUUUCUAUCCACCUACUAAAAACCGAAAAACUCUCUUAUAUAGUAGAUGCUUAUCGCAUAAAGUACAUGUUCAACUAAAUAGAAUAAGAUUUUUUUAUUGAACUUACGGCUUAUACAAAUAAGGUAAAAGCCGUGAUGUGGUGUACGCGUUGUUAUCUAUUAAAAGUACCCUACGCCAGUGAUCUAUUAAAUAAGACUUUGUCCGGACACAUUCGCUUUCAUCCUUCAAACUAGAAAACGAGAAAUCUUCUAGAAUUAUAAAUACUAAAUCAUUUCAUCGUGUAGAGUGAAUGUUCUAUUAAAUAAAAUAAGAUUUUUUUAUGUUAUAAAAAGUAAUUUAAAAAUUUUUUAUAAGACUCAUUGUAUAAACACGUAGGUAAGGUGUAAUUUAAACUAAUUAACAACUUACUUACUAGACUUUUAUUAUCCUUCCCUUCGGCGACCCCACCACCAACGCCACCGGGGCCCGGAUUGUUCGGGUUCUCAUCCCCUACACCACCGAAUGCGGCGACUGAAUAACCCGAGAAUACGCCUUCUCGUGUAAGAGGGACGUUCACAGCGACACGGGCAAGGUAGGCGGUAAGUAAAAUCGCAGCGACGUAGACGAAACGAGUUCCCGUACUGGCGAGUACACGACGAGGUAGCGCAAAAGUUCCAAUCUAAAAUAGAAAAGGGAUAAUAGGAAAAAAAUUUUUUUGAUAGAUAAAAUAAUCAUCCAAACUUUAAAAUUUAUACGAAAACGGCCAGACUCACUAGUCUAUCAAUACAUUGUCAAAUCUCUGUUUAAUAUGUAAAAUGGACGUUUUAUAAACGCAUCGUUCGAUGCAGAAGUUUUAAAUAGUCUUAUUAAAACUCUUCACAUUGUGUAUAUAUAUGUGGCGUACACUAGCAGUGAUCAGCUGAGAUUAGAUUAGGUUUAUGUGGCGUACACUAGCAGUGAUCAGCUGAGAUUAGAUUAGGUUCAUGAUUUAGUUACGUCCAGCUCGCUCCGGUGUGUUAAGAUCAGGUGCGACGCCGUCCACCUCAACCGACACAGUCACCCGCUUACGAAAUCCACGAUGGUAAUAUCCGUGUCAAAGAUGGCUUCUUUUUCGACGUGUUCGGUGUUUUCUACCUACGCCGGUACAUUAAUAUAUGUGUUUCCUCCUGAAACAACGUUUUCAGGUCCUCUAAUGGAGACCCUUUCCACAGUUACAACAUAUGCUAAGACAGCCUUUUCUAUGAACGGUCCACUUUAAGUAUGUUGAUUACUUAAAAAAACGAACAUUAAAAACAAUUUACAAUGUCAAAGAAAAAACCGAUUUAGAUUAAUUUGAUUCUACAUUUAUGUAAAACUAAGUAUGAUAGAGUGAGUGUGAUCCUUCAAGAGAGAAAGACGUCCCUAGAAAUCGGACGAGCCGCGGGGCUCCCGUGAACCAGACCAAGCCCGAUCGCAGCCCGCUUGGCCUAGGCCAAGUUAAAGCGCUAGAACGAGGCUUUAGAAAUAAAUAAUGACGACGCUCGCAGAAGUUAAUGUGAAGCUGAGCUCUCCUCGACGAGCUCAGUCGACCACUCCAGAAGAGAUUACAGCGUAGGCCCCAAAACGCUUAAGCCCAGUUGGUAUGGAUGGGAGAGAGACUUCGACGAGCUCGAGUACGCCUAGAGCUCCGUGCUUUUUGAAGCCCAAGGUAACAUGAUUAUGGACUAUUAAUCUCAACUUAUAACGUAACACUUGGAAUUAUCAACAAUCUCCCACAUAAACGAAUACAUUAUUCGAAUGCAAACAGUAAAAAGUAUAUCAUUCUUCAAGUUAUCGAAAUAAGAAGUUUAAAAUACCUCGUAUUAAAAAAGCAUAGAUUAAUUAGCAGUACACUGACUCUUCUGCUAAUUUAACUAUAAUAAACUGGAUUUACUAUGAUAAAUCUUGUCAAAUUUAUGUUUUUUUUUAGAAUAAUGCAUUAUUUUUAAAUUUUUUAGGUUUUAGUAAACAAAAAAAGGAGGUGAUCUUUGCAGAUGCACACCAAGUAGCUUGUAUUAUUAUUGUUUCUCUCUACUCGUGCCGCUCCCAGGAAAAGUUGGUUUCGCAAUUGGGAAAGGAGAGGUAGUUACGCGCCGCUGAUGAGUGAGGGUUUGGGCUUGAUUUUGGGAUGUGUAGUGAGGCUAGCUAGGCUCGAAGAAGUAGCAGCAGCAGCAGCAGCAGCAGCAGCAGCAGGAGGCGGUACCACUUCCACUAGGCGCAGGUGCUCGAGCCUCCUGGGCUCCACUCGCGUGAGGAGUAGGCGGAGGCGGCGAAUGAGGCAAAAGGCGUUUAGUCUAUAGGAAUGAAAACAAGAAGAAGAAAAAAAAAAAAACCUAAAUUACCACUCUUCCACAACUUCACCCUCCUCCACCUCUAACCCCUCGGGUUCCUCCCUCUCUAGGCUCACUUCUUGUUUCGCUAGCCGCAAUUAAAAUAGCUACAAAUAAAGGCAUUUCCCCAAAUAUUACGCGGAAACGGGAAAUGAGGUCCAUUCAAAAAAAAAAAAAUUAUUUAAGCGACGAGACCCUAAUCAAAAACAAAAAAAAAACCAUUAAAUGACAACAAAACUAAAACAUAUACGAACCUUAAAGAACCUUAACGUUCGUACAAAAGUUUGUUUUAGUUCCUUCUAACCACUUCUAAAAACAUACCAUCUUUAUUUUAAUCUCAUCUUAACUCUCCAGUCUCAAUCCUCCUAAGUGCUAAAGCGCGUUUGAUACCAUUCAUCAGCUUAAACAACUACCAUUAUUUCAAACUAAUAUCCUACUCCUCUUCUCCACUCAUCUUAAACAGCCGAGCAAAUGUAUACACAUCUAAGGAGUCUCUAGUUCUCGUAGUAGUUUAACCUCUUUACGAACUUAUUUCUCCUCAACCUGACCUUUCUUUCUACUCCACAAACAUCUACUCUCUACUCUAGGUGAGAAUAUUGGUGAAAUGUCACUAAACAACACAACAUUAUAAGUACUAGAUAACGUUUAUUAACAAUAUAUGUCUCCCGACCCAUUGCCAUACCUAAAAUUAUUGUUAUUUUAACGAAGGUGAAAUCUGGUGAAGACUUAAAAAUUAGGACAAGGAAUUCUAACACGUGAAGCCAUAGGUUUACUCAUCAAGUGGUAUAAGUAUACUGUGCAGCGUCGACGAUAAAUUCGUGGAGAAACAUCGUGAAGUUACACCCUAAGAUACCAUGAAUAAGACGUACGUUUAUCUACUACCUGAAGUAGCUUAAAACUAACGAAACAGAUCCAGAAUCUUUUAUAAUUUUUUAUAAAGAUUUAUUGAUUGGUCUCUUUUGAAAAUUCAAGAACAAAAGGAGUAUAAUCAUGAAGAAGACUGAAGACUCCCCUAAGACGUCAAAAGUGAGAAGUAAUUUUAUAAGACGUUGAGUUUAAGUCAUAUCAUGAAGUAUACUUUAAACAAGUAACUUUUUCUAGAUAAAAUACAUUAAUGAUAGAGUAAAAAAAAUCAAAAAAGAUUUAAGCUUACUACUUAUAGGUCCCUACCUUCGUCACCCUCAACACUGACGUCACCCGGGACCUAACUGCCCGGCGUUUCAUCCCCUACAGCAUCGUAUACGGCCAUUAGGCUACCCAAGAAUACGACUCCUCGUCUAGGAAGGCCGUUCACAACGUCAAGGACAGGGUAGAAGGUAACUGAAGUCACAACGUCGUCGACAAUACGAAUUCCCGUACUGACGAGUUCAAAAUGACGCGGCACAGAAGUUCCAGCUAAAAGAGGUGAGGACUCAAGAAUCUGGAGGAAAUUAGAUAAUUAUGAAAAAAUAGAGAAUAGGAAAUUCCAAGAAGAAUACAUUAUUUAUCAAGACUUGCCCAUGUCUUGACAGUCAUCACAACGUAGACAGAAAACCCCGAGAUGUUACGUCUUUAUGUGUAUUAAAUGUAGAGUUCUGGUCUAAUUAACAAGAAUAAGAAUAAUCUCUGAGUUAUUGAAGACAAGAGUGACUUCAGAAAAGUAAUCCGUGAGAAGUGGAUAUGAGGAGUCUCCCUAUAUGUGGUCGUAAAGUUUAAAAGAAUAUACGGACUUCAAAUUUCUUGAAAAUCACUCACCAUUAAAUACGUUAUCCUCAAGUAUCGGAACAGUAUACAUCGUACGAUGAACAAUUUCCAAGUUUCACUUAAAACCUCUACUUAGAGACAGUUAGAAUAAGAACGAAAUUAGUUACUAUUGGAAGACCUAUUAAGAUUUUCAAUAUUGACCGACUCAGAUAAAGAUUACGAUUACGUCCAACUCGCUCCGGUGUGUCAAGAGUAGGAUCGACGACGACCACCGCAACCAAGCAAUGAUACGGUCACCCGCUUACGGGAGCCCCGGUGGCAGUAACCGUGACAAAGUUUACUUCUCUUUCGACGAGUUCGACGAGUUCUACCUACGGUGGUACACUAUUAUAUAUGUUUCCUUCUGAAACUCCGGUUUCAGGUACUCUAGUGUAGACCCUUUCCUCAGUUACAACAGAUACUAAGACAACCUUUUCUGUGUAAGGUCCAUAUUAUAUAUUAGUUAAAAAAGUGUAAGUACAGAAGAGCUAGAAACAAUUUUGUCGGCAACAAGUUUAAGAUACGUAUUUUCUUAUCGGUUUCCACGGUGUAAAAAAUUUGUAAUUCGUCUGGAAAAGAAAGGGGGGACAAACCAGUGAAUAUCUAAACAAAGUUUAAAAUAUUAUUCAAGUUAAUGAUAAUUAACUUAAGGGAAUAUUUCACCUUCUCCCGUACGGGACGAGUUUGAAAGAAAACCAUUCUUCUUCAAAGAGGUAUUUACUAUACAUCUUAUGUUCAAUUUUCCCCUUUAGAUAAGACAUUACUCUAUUUUAGUGCUCAUUGAGAAUGUUCAUUCAAGACAAUACAUCUUUAGGAAUCGUACGAACCGCAGCGCUCCCAUAUACCAGUUAAAACCCGUCAGUAGCCCGUCCGGUCUAGGGUAGGGAAACUCACUAGAACGACGUUUUAGAAACAAGGAAUGAUCCGGCUCAGAUUACGUAAUGUGGAGAUGAGCGCUACUCAAUGAACUUAGACGUCCGCUCCAGAAACGUUUACAGCGUAGACCCCACGACGCAUAAGCGCACUUGGUAUGUAUAGGCGAUAGACUUCGUCGUGCACGAGUGCGUCUAGAGCUCCGCGCCUUUUGAAGUCCAAGGUAUCAUGAUAAAGGACUAUUGAUUUUCAUUAAUGAAACAUAAGUACACACGUAAGAUACCAAUAUAAGACUAUUAUUACGGAGCAUUCGAAUUUCUAAAUAAGAUAACACACAACCAAGGUUCACUAGUAUACUACAACCUGACCUUUCCUUUUUGUUUUUGAACUACUAGACUUCAUAAUGUUUUAUGGCUUUAGUAUCAACCUCUUACAUUGACGUAAACAUGUUAUAAUUAGAUAGCUGGUGAUACACAACAGAAAAUAGCGUUUCGUACAUUCAAGUUGUUAGUGAAUUAAGGAUAUGAUCAAUUGAACUUCUACGAAAGAUUACAUCACUAAUUCAACAUCAGCACCUCCGAAACUGAAGUUUUAAAACAAUACAAGGGUCUAUAUCACUUUUUAUACUACAAACGUUUAAAACAUAUAACCUGUUUCUUAACAUCGAAGACCUUCAAAAUUACUGAUCAUUGUUCAGUUCUAGAGACUGAAAUCACACCAUUAAAGUAAUAGAACAGCUGACCACUGUGACUCGAAUGUGGAAUGUAAUAAAAGGUCUUCAUAUAUCGUUAAAGGAAACUUCAAAGGGGGAUCAGGAAGUGGCAAAUAAAAGACUGUUUUUUGUUUUAUAUUUCAGUAAAAGCGCUUUCAUCUCGACGUAGAAAUAGUUUCAAUAUUUCAUCGUGAUAUUAAAAAGUGAUCUAGACCCUUAUAUGAGAGUAACCCACGCAUUAUAAAAAGUUUAACGAUUCUUUUAGUACGUUUAUUUUCUUCAGUGAAAAGAUCAGAACAGUUAAAAAACGAAAAGAAGAACUACGAAGAGAACACCAUUCCUAAAAAACUCACGGAGAGUUUACCAGAGGAGAUCUAACAAUAACUGUACAACAGGUUUAUUACACGGAAGGAAUUAGUUUUAAAAUAAUAUAGUACCCACAGUUACAUAAUAGUAAUACAGUUUUAAAAUAAUUUGCUUUUUCGGACACUCGUCUUCGAAGAUAUCGUCUAUAUAAAUGUUCCUCACCAACCUUCAAGAAAUAGCUUGAAACAUGAAAAAUUACGGAUGGUAAGUAAAUUCAAUAUGAAAAAAAAAAAAAUCAAAAUUUUAAUUCGAGGAAAGUAUAUCUUUAUCCGGAAUAAACCUAUAUUUUAUUGAAACGACAUGAAUAAAUCUAAAAGAAAAAUAAUAUAAUAUAUUGUGGUUUACUAACAACCCUACUAUAUAUAUCAAAAACACACGAUAAUCGCCGUGUAUCCGAAGGCACAAGAAUUUAGUAAAAACUACUACCUCAAAGAUUUAGAUGCUAGCCGAGGCAAUCUAAACUAGAUCACUUAAAUUUUAUGGAUCUUUUUAUUUAAAACACUAAGAUGCUACAGUUAAUGGAUUACUAACUUUCCCAAAUUUUAGUUGUUAAAAUCCAAUUAAAGUACGUUCAGGGAUGUUUAUAUCACUUAGCGUUUAUAUAAAGAUAUUUCAAGUUAAAAGUAUACAAUAGAGACGUUUUUAAGACUACAAAACUUUAUAUAAGGACGCCAAUCUUAGAUAAUUUUUUAAAAUUAAUUAGUAUCCAAUUUAUCAAUUGAAACCAAUCAAAAACUAUGAUAAAACUGAAAACCUCCCUGUAUAAACACUACCGUUUUAACUUUGCCAAGAAAUUGCCAUUGUUUGAUCUUCCUGUAUAAAUUUUUAUAAUCUUAAAAACAUUUUUGUUGUAUAUUUUCAACUUGAAACAUCUCUAUAAAUACAGUAAGUGAUAAUAAACGUCCCUGGACAUAUUUUAAUUAAGUUAUUAAAAAUUACCAAUACACAUAACAAACGUUCAAAUUGUUAUAUCUACAUAAAUUUAGCCUACUUUAAAACUAUCUUUUAAAAAAUAUGAUAGAUGUAGUUCUUAUUAUAAAAACUAGCUUUUAAAAUCAUAAUAUCGUAUUGAAAAACACGUUAAAAAAAAAAGUUGGCAACGAAAACUCAGUAAAAUUAAUAACCCAUUUAUUAUAACUUUUGAAUAUUUUAAAUAAAUCUAAUCUUCAUGCUUUUAGAGGCACGAGGAUUGUCGUGCUUGUGGAGUGAGAGAGAGAGAGAGAGAGAGAGAUGUAUGUAUAAAUAUAUAUGCCCAAAGUUUGUGGGAAUAACGUAAAGGGUAAGUACGCUUAAAACGCUAGGUGGACGACUUUAACAGCACCGUGCGCUGGUUGCCAGCGGCUGCGUGUCGUACAUACACUGCCAUGUGACAUGACGUCACGUGACAUGUGUGUGUGCGUCUCUCUGUUUUACUCGACCACUCGGGCCGAGUACCCGGAUGCUUCUCCUAUUCGGUGCCCGAGUCACGCGCCCCUGGCCCCAGAUGCCCGGGACCGAAGAAAACCGUGGACAGAGAGGAAAGUUGGAGUCGGAGAGAAUCUAGAAAAAAAAAAAAAAAUUUAAUAAAAAAAACAAUAAAAAUUUUAAAUAAAAGAAAUAAAAACCCGUUCCACUUUUCGUGAGUCCUCCGGGGGAGUUAAUAAAACGUUAGUAGGAGAGAGAGAGAGAGAGAGAGAGAGAGAGAGAGAGAGGAAAAAUAAAAAUCCUGUUAGGUGAUCAGAGAGUUUUCAAUUUCUAAAUUUAUAAAACCUUUUAAAAGAUUUGAGUACUUUAUUAUCCCGCAUUUUAACUAAAUUAUUACCAAGAGAUAUCAACUUACCCACCAACCAACUUAUUAUACUAAAUUGUCCACUUUUACUAGUUUUUUCAUUUAGAUCGCCAGCUUUUAAAUAUUUCAUGUUUUUCUGGAUAUGAGUAUUCUCAUAUCAUUAGUCUGAGAUAUGUAUGUCAGGUUUCUAUGGUGUGGAUAUAAUUAUUAGCUAUUUUUACUAUAAAUUUCUUUUGUUUCGUAGAAAAGAAGACUAUAAAAAAAUCGUCAACUAGAUAAACUUGCCUGACCAAAAUUUAAGUGAUUUUAAAAUUUGCGUCGAUUAAAAAAAAAUUUUUUUAGGUGUAGACUUUUCAUAUUUUUUAAUUGUUUUAUAUAAUUAAAAUCUUUUCAAAUUCAACCUUUCGGAGAAAGUCUUGUCACACCAGACAGAUAUAUACUCCCCAUUAGAGUAACGUAGGAAAGGUGAAAUUUUCAUCUAUUUUUCUUUUUUUUUUAACGUGUCUCUUCUCUCUCUCUCUCUCUCACUCUCUCUCUCUCUCUCUCUCUAAGGUCACCCGCGAGUGUUUCACCCUCGAGUGUUUCACGCAGGUGCAGAGGUAGGAGUUGCAGUGAAAAAUGACGUAAUUUUACUCGACACGAGGGUUUUGGGGAGAAGAGUGAGGAGAGAGGGGUGUUGGGGGGGGGGGAUUACAAUAAUAGUAUUAUUAUCAUGUGUGAGGUCAAAGGAGAAAUAAGAGGGAGAGAGAGAGAGAGGGAGAGAGAGAGAGAGAAAAAGAGAGAGAGAGAGAGAGAGAGAGAGAGAGAGAUAUAUAUAUAUAUAUAUAUACAUAUAAAGAGACAUCUCGAGUUGUUGUUGUUGUUCUCGUUCUCGUCCUCGUUCUCGUUCUUCUCGUUCUCGUUGUUACCGCCCCCCGUUUAAGCGCCCCCUCCCGCUUUACUCGCCGCCGAUGUUGCCGUCCUACUGCGGGAAGCAGCAGGAGAGGACGUACCAGCGGCGGUCGCCGCCUUAGGAGAAGCCGAUGCUGGAGCCUUAGAGGCCAUAGAUAAAAUAUAAUAUAAUAAUACUUAUAAGUAUAUUAUAAAUAAAUAUAAAUAUAUUUUAGAGUCUAAGUAAGCUGCCCGAGAAAAAAAAAAAAAAAAGAAAAAGAAGGAAAAAGAAGACUUAGAUCUUCUUUGAUUGAUUGAUUGAUUUUUCGUUAAUGAGGUUUUAAAUGAUUAAAAGAUAAAUUUGAGAUUUUAAUAAUUUUAUUAUUAUUAUUAUAAUAAUAAUAUAGAGGCUUACUAUUAAAAGGCAAAGUUAGGCGGUGUGUUAAAAUAAAAUAAAAUAAAAUAAAAUAAAAUAAAACAACUUUUCUUUUAAAACCAGUUAAGCCAACGAACCCGUACUGUUGAGUAUAAAAGUCGGCUUACUAAAUCGAACGACAGGAAAUGGAGGCACACACAGGAGCCGUCAACAACCCAGUGCUGGUUGGAGCGGUUUCACUUUUGAUACAUACAACACAAAAAUAAAUAUGACGAUAAAAAAAAAAAAGAAAAUGUUUAAUCGUUUUUGCACGCAUGUACGCAUGCACAUAAUUAUUCCUUCCACUUUCUUGACCCUUUCAUUUAUGAUAUAUAUGCAUGUCCCCUAGCUCCUCUGUAAACUAAUUAAUGGGCGUUAUUAAGACUUGAAAAAAAAAAUAAAUGUAGAGAAUAGAUAGAGUAGAUAGUUAAAAUCAACGAGAAUAAUUAUCGUAAUUAUAUAUAUAUGUAUAUAUAUCGUCUUAAUAACACGAAAAUCCUCAUGUCGUAAAGAACACAAAGAUUAAAAGAUUGUUAAAUAGUUUUAACUAUCUAUCAAUUUUUCAAUACUUGUGUUUUUGACGAUAUAAGAAUUAUGAUAUUAUUAGGACGUAUAUAUAUAUAUAUAACCACUCGAGCUGAGCAAAUCAUUAUCAUUAUCUACCUAUACUAAACCUACAUAUAUAUUGUGUACGUUAAUAUAUUCCACCCCACUGCAGCUACCUCCGCAAGGACUUCUCCAAGAAGGGCCUGCACAUGCCCUUCUACUCCCCGCUGUGGCUCUAGUCGUUGAUGACGUUCAAGCUGUCGGUCGAGGAGUGGCACAAGUGGAGCAGCGAGAUGCAGCGGCCGGAGCAGAGGUGAGAGCAGCGCAGGAGGCAGAGGUCGGCGAAGCCGGCGGCGUGCAGGUACGAGCAGCCGCCGCGGCACAAGCAGCGCCCUAGACGGUAGCCGCCCCGGCGCGAGUUGCAGAUGUACGAGUAGGAGCCGGCGCAGGAGGAGCCGCAGCCGGAGCCUAAGUGGUUGGUCCAGUUUUAAGAGAUAGUUAAUUGACAAACAAAAACAAAAAAAAAAAAAAAACUCUCUCUAUCUAUCGUGCGAUGGGCGAAACAAAUAAAGUAAAUCUUUAUUUGAAUCGAUCUUUAUACUUAGUUGAUCUUAAGCUUGAACUCAAAACUCAUGGUUGGUGGUUCAGGAAACGGUGAACGAGAUCCUUGCCAGCCAGAUAAUGAAUUGACAAUGUAAGUUGACAAAUGCACCUUUAUUUGUCGGUUUUAGACCCGAUUAAUCAUCGUUUGUUAAAUUCUUGUUGUUGAAUUAACUGCAUAUGGGCGUGGUUAUGAAAAUAACGUCCUUUCCUUAUUUGGAAUCGACAUCAAAGAACUUGAAAGACAUACAACGAAAACUGAGGUCUAUUGAGGUCUAUUGAGGUUAAAUUCAGGGAUGACUCCUUCGCGCAAACCAAGUCUUAACUGAGGUCUUUUGAGGUUAGAUUCAGGAUGACACAUUCGCACAAACCAAGUUUUAUCUUUAGGACUACGUUUAUCCUUACCUUACUUAGUUUUACUUUGUGCCUUGUUACCUUAGAGGACUAAAUAAACCAAGUAUUAUCUUUAACUUUAGCCUUAGCUGAGUAAUUAAUUACAACAACAAACUAACUCGUUUUCAAGUUAAGUUCAAGUUUCAAUUUUAAGUUAUUUUCGUAUUGAUUUAAGUUUUAUAAUGUGAAAAUUUUUGAUUUCGAACUUAAAAAUUUAGGUAUAAAGUCUAAGUUCGAACUUUAAUAUAAAAAUAAGUUUGAAACCUCCCUAAGCUAAAGGGAGCCUUACCUUGUGAGUCUUAUAGUUAAAGAGUUAGGUUUGUAGUGGGUACUGUUACCGAGUAGGGCUAGAAGUAAGGUUCGGAGUUUAGGGAGUUUAGUUUGCACGGGAUUUUCGGUUCCUUAUUUCAAACUAGGUUUUUUUGUUGGUGGCAUGUAUGAAUGUAGCGCUUUGACCUGGUAGUUACGAAAUAGGGCGCCUAAAACAAAGGUCAAGUAUUAAAGUUUAUUACACGCAUCUGAUAACCCUUGACGGUAACAGAAACAAUCGGUAUUGAAGUUCUGCCUCUUUCGUAACUGAACUGGGGCAGUACUUCAGCGACCUUUUCUAGGUUCUCUUUUCAGAGGGACAAGUGAGAUAAAUCAUCGUGAUAGUUGACUGAGUAAUGGUGUAUGGACUUAAAGUUUCCACCGAUGACUCCGUGACCCUUGCAAAAGGUGUCCAAAGUAGUCUCGGGAGGAGGUAUUUGACAAGUGUGAAUGCGGUAAGGUGAACUUCAUGGCAGUGCGCCUCUUAUACAAUCGAAAUACUUAAACCUUGUUGUAUCUAGAACAUAUCAACAUGUGGUUUAAGAUUUACGGAACUUUGUAAAUAUAGAACAAUUCCAUAAGAAAUACUUGUUGACAUCCUUCUUCUUUCUUUCGUUUAGAUCUGUGAAUAUAGAACUAUUCCUUUUUCUUUUUACUAUAUUACUUUAGCAUGCUUCCUGAUCAUACUACCCAUGAAUGCGUUGAUUAUAUUGUGUCUAUUUUCGAGUCUCUUUUCUUUCUUUUAACAACAAUCUUGUUGACGUUGUCAUUUAGGUACUCAUCUUUAUGGAAAUAAACUAGAAGACUGCAGAAAAAGCCUCGUUAUGGUUGGCCAUCAAUAUGGUUCGAUGAGUCGUCGUGGACGUGAUACCACUUUUGUGAUGAAAAAGUUUCUUAAACGUACCAGAUUAUAUUAAAGGACGCAUUUUUAAUGGACGUAUCUCAACUUGAUUUACGGCUUGAUUGUGAUAACAGCCGAGAGCGUCAGCUAAGGAGAUAUGGACAGCCUUUACCGAGGUGGCGUUAUGGCUCCUCGUAAGUCGUUGCGCAAGCUUGAGACGUAGUCGGAGCCCUAGGAGUAGCGUUUGGACCAGUUGAUGCCGCAGGUUUCUUAACUCCCUCCUACCCCAACCGCUUAUAGGAAUAGGAAUCGGCGUCAAGGGCGAAGCAAAGAUCGUAAGCCGCGGGAGAAGGAGGGGCUCUGCGGGUCGUUGCAUGAGGUUGCGUCGCGGCUGGUGUUGGUCCGAUUCCACGAAGAGGUUUCCGAGGCUCCGUGAAGGUUGCACGUCUUUCUCGAGCUGCUAAACUAGAGGCGCUCGCGCCAAAGCUCUUGGUAGGCGGUGGGCAAGGCCUUGUAUUGGUUUUCCUUCAUGUCCGGGGUCGAACAGUACCGUUAGGAUUAGGGGAAAAAAUUGGUCUAGUGGCCUUAGUUGCAGUAGUUGAAGAUGCGCGGACAGUACAAAGCCUGGUAGCCCGAUUUCCUCUCGUGGAGCGAGUACAGCUGCCACCACUGCUCUUAAAAGCGCUGCUGGUCGUUGCAGUAGCGCUAUCAGCGCCAGCUGUCUAACCCGGCUGCCCAUAACAAGUAGCACCCUCCCUAAGUCUACUAUUAGAGCGUCAAGUGGUAGCCGCACUAGAACCGCUUCGUUGAGUUUCUGGUGCCCCCUUACCUUUCCCUGAUGCGUAUGAACCACGACUGGAAGUACACGUAGAAGCAGUGGCCUAAGCCCACCAGCACCCCCGGCAAUUGCAUGAACCAGGGCUGCCUCUAGAGCGGCGACCUCUAGUCCAGCCGCCCCGUCUCGUAGCACCACCGCCACUACAAAUACCACUGCAAGCACUAUCCGGUUUGUAAGGACCGGUACGACACGGUAGAGUUCAUGCCCUGGAAGGAAGAUAAGCCCCCCACCCACACACACUACUGCCACAAGCACAUAAAGGACAACGGCCUCUGCUUCUUCUAUGGCUACCUCGUCUACCUCGUCCACACCUCCGCCGUAACCAAGACCUUCUCCCAACAGCCCCUCCUUCCUCACCUCCACGCUUGCCACCUCCGGCGCUUAAACAGCUUGGGCUUGUGCUUGGGCUUGGGUUUGAUCACUCUUCCCCACCCACCACAAACACAAACUCGACGUUUGUUACCUCGUGAGGAAAAUCGACAUAGAAAGUUUAAACGACGUAGUACAUUCGAAGUCUAUCAACGACGAUGGUUACAAACGAGCAGUACUUGUUCGUACAUUCUAUUCGUUUAGUUUAACCGUUGUUUUCCGUUUUAUUAAGACGCGAGUCCCUUAACUUGCCUUACGCUCGUUAAUAUGAUGUGUCUAUCUUCACCGCUCUAAAAGUAACUAUAAAGUGCUUUUUAGUCUUUUUUUUUUUUCUCUUUCUUUAUGGAACGGUUAAUUAAUUAAUUAGCACAUUAUAAAGUGCGAGCGAGAGUAGUAGUAUUGGUUUUUUUUAUCGAACCUUAAAUCGUCUAAUUCCGCGUUAAUCGUGUCCACUUGCUUAUUUUCCCGUGCCCUUUACCCUAGCAAGCUCUUGGGAUGGAGUAAUAGCAGCUAGAGCCGUACGGCUAACUCCCCUAAACUUCCUCUUUGGAAUUAAACUUCCCUCUAAUCCCGAACAUUAGCCUAAGGUACCUUUAAUAAUAAUCCCAAUGACCCCUUCUUCUUUCCUCUCUCUCCUCAACCCUCCCCAGCUUGACAUGGAGUUAUUAAAACGCUUUUCCUUUGAACUUAACUUGUGCCCUUUUCGCCCUGCGUUUUUCAUGCACGUAUAUAUAUCCCAGCCACAUAAUUAUUUUGACCACAUAUGGGGAAAAUGAAGUCAAAAAAAAAAAAAAAAAAAAGAGCGGAGGACUCCGGUACAACAGUGUGGGUACAUCAAAUUAAGUGGAAAAAUAACUUACUUCGCCCAUCACAGGAUGGGUAAGGAGAAUUUUUUAUUAUUAUUAUUAUUUUGACCACAUCUUUAUGCGCAGGGUGACAAAUCAUUGCAAACUAGAGGAACCGAAUCGUUCCCCAUAAAAGUGUUUUUAGGUAGUUUAUUGAAGAAUAAUGUAAAUGUUCGUUUUCGUGGCCAAAGUUUAAUCUUGAUUUUAUACUACCUAGAAGCCUUCGCAAUGUAUACGAAAAAGAGGUCAAAAGGCAUAUCACUAGCGUGUUUUAUUCGGGUCUUUCUAUUUAAUUAUUCGUAAUUCUACUAUAAAAUUAAAAUUAUUGUUUCUUUUGCCUUUUAUGGUCCUGGAGAUAGUCCUUCCGGAACAUAGACGAUCAAAACUCAAGGCUCUAGAGUAGUGGCGUACGUAAAUGGGGGAAGUAAACGGGUUUAAUGAUACGUUUGAUGUGCUUCAACGUCGUAUAUUGUGCAAUUUUACAUUUAAACAUUUUCUUUUUAUCGUGGACUAGCGGAUUAUACUGAUCGUCAAAGUUACCUUCGUUGUAAUCAUUCACCGUUGUAACAAUCAGUGAAAUUAUUGAAUGAUACAGUAAUGUUUAAAAGGAUCAUUUUUCUUUAUCUACUAUAUUUGAAUUUGUCAACCGGAGUUUUGUGUCAAUUAGUACAUAUUUGUUGUUUCCCCACUUCGAAUAGAAGUGGUACAGCCGGAAGCUUCCUAGACUAUAGUACGAACUCGGGAACAAACGCCUAAUCGUACCUUUCGGCUAGCGGAUAAACUUAAUAGCUCGUUUAAAUUACUACAGCUGCUGAGUCGUCUAAGAGAAAACCUAAGAGGAUACGAAUCAGAACUGUAUGGGUGCUCAAGCAGCUGCAAAUAGCCUCGGAACCUUUCGUGACCUCAACCGAAUUGCUAGAGUACGCAGAGGGCAAGGUUGCAUAGACAAAAUAUUGGACCACCGGUAUCUCCCUCGCUCUUGCCUUAUUUGCCGCCUUUUAUUCGGCCGUGAUAAUGACCUAUUGACGUGACUCCUAAGAGGUUUGAACCUUGUCGGCGGAGAGGCUGGUAACUUCCCGAUCUCAGGUAACUAAGCGUAACGAGUAGUUACCGGCCUCCAUUUUCGACAACUAGCAAAAGAACACAGAGACCAAGAACUGAACGACCUUGACCGACUUUCAGUUACCCGACUUUUUGCCUUCUUUGCUGUCUUUUUAAGCAUUUGUAAUGUUCUUUUCGUAAUGAAUGUAUAUAGUCGUUAGUUGAGGGUUAAGGUUUGUUUUUUUGAAGGGAUAAAUAUCAUUCCUCACUUUUGUUCAACGAUUUAUGACGUCUAGAGACUUUGUUUCUUUCGUUAGGCUUAAACGUUCCUGUUACUUCUGGUCUUUUUCGAAUAAAUAACGUAUAAAAACGCAACCAAAUCUUUUUAUCUUUCUCUAUCCCUUUUUGAUUGGAGCAGUCCAUGGUAUAGUUUUUCCGAUCUAGAGGAGAAAGAAGACCAGUACAACCAAACUGCAUACUUCAUAAAAA
Molecule: long non-coding RNA, 30568 nt
Filed under: Ananas comosus (pineapple)
Lineage: Eukaryota; Viridiplantae; Streptophyta; Magnoliopsida; Poales; Bromeliaceae
Description: long non-coding RNA (ACOM_LNC028689)
Source: RNAcentral